GAGUUUGAUCUUGGCUCAGGAUGAACGCUGGCGGCGUGCCUAAGACAUGCAAGUCGAGGGGGUUUAGACCCCCGGCGAACGGGUGAGUAACACGUGGGAACUUCCAUUAAGUUUGGGAUAUCCUCCCGAAAGGGAGAGCAAUACCAAAUGUGGUCGCAAGACUAAAGCCGCAAGGCGCUUAAUGCAAGGCCCGCGUCCCAUCAGCUAGUUGGUAGGGUAAUGGCCUACCAAGGCGAUGACGGGUAGCGGAAACGAGAGCUUGAUCCGCCACACUGGGACUGCGACACGGCCCAGACUCCUACGGGAGGCAGCAGUUUGGAAUUUUGGACAAUGGACGAAAGUCUGAUCCAGCGACGCCGCGUGCACGAUGAAGGCCUUCGGGUCGUAAAGUGCUUUUGGUGGGGAAAAAUUUUUGAUUGUACCCACAGAAUAAGAGGUUGCUAACUCUGUGGCAGCCGCCGCGGUAAC
RNAcentral lists this ribosomal RNA (468 nucleotides) under uncultured bacterium. RNAcentral describes it as "bacterial SSU rRNA". It matches the Rfam family "Bacterial small subunit ribosomal RNA", at positions 9 to 524 of the family's 1533-position model. The record is from RNAcentral.